GAUGAACGCUGGCGGCGUGCCUAAUACAUGCAAGUCGAACGAACGGCCGAGAAGCGUGCUUCUCUGAUGUUAGCGGCGGACGGAUGAGGAACACGAGGAUACCCUACCUCUAGGACAGGGAUAACUUCGGGAAACCGGAGCUAAUACCGGCUACUAUCUUCAACCGCAGGGGUCAAAAGUGAAAGACGGUCUUGCUGUCACUUAUAGAUGAAUACGCGCUGCGUUAGCUAGUUGGUAAGGUAACGGCUUACCAAGUCAACGAUGGAUAGCCGACCGGAGCGGGGGAUCGCCGACAUGGGAACGUGGCCACGCUCCCUGCGCCUACGGGACGGCGCAGUAUGCAACCGGCCGCAAUGGUCGAGAGCCUGACGGAGUAACGCCGCGCCAGUCAUGGAGGCCUUCGGAUCGUGAAGCUCUGUUACGAGUUAAGAACAUAUGUGUACGUAACUGUGCACAUCUUGACGGUACCUAAUCAGAAAGCCCCGGCUAACUACGUG
Molecule: ribosomal RNA, 497 nt
Filed under: uncultured bacterium
Lineage: Bacteria
Description: partial 16S ribosomal RNA
Rfam family: Bacterial small subunit ribosomal RNA
Source: RNAcentral